Molecule: unclassified non-coding RNA, 218 nt
Filed under: rhizosphere metagenome
Description: partial ribosomal RNA internal transcribed spacer region
Source: RNAcentral
GUAGGUGAACCUGCGGAAGGAUCAUUACCGAGUUCAUGCCCUCACGGGUAGAUCUCCCACCCUUUGUAUACCUUACCUUUGUUGCUUUGGCGGGCCGCCUAGCUACUGGCUUCGGCUGGUAAGUGCCCGCCGGAGAACCCCAAACCCAACCCAUUUAUAGUGUCGUCUGAGUAAAAUUUUAAUAUUUAAAACUUUCAACAACGGAUCUCUUGGCUCUG